AGUGAACGCUGGCGGUAGGCCUAACACAUGCAAGUCGAACGGCAGCACAGUAAGAGCUUGCUCUUACGGGUGGCGAGUGGCGGACGGGUGAGGAAUACAUCGGAAUCUACUUUUUCGUGGGGGAUAACUUAGGGAAACUUACGCUAAUACCGCAUACGACCUACGGGUGAAAGCAGGGGAUCUUCGGACCUUGCGCGAUUGAAUGAGCCGAUGUCGGAUUAGCUAGUUGGCGGGGUAAAGGCCCACCAAGGCGACGAUCCGUAGCUGGUCUGAGAGGAUGAUCAGACACACUGGAACUGAGACACGGUCCAGACUCCUACGGGAGGCAGCAGUGGGGAAUAUUGGACAAUGGGCGCAAGCCUGAUCCAGCCAUACCGCGUGGGUGAAGAAGGCAUUCGGGUUGUAAAGCCCUUUUGUUGGGAAAGAAAAGCAGCAGGUUAAUACCCCGCUGUUCUGACGGUACCCAAAGAAUAAGCACCGGCUAACUUCGUG
Molecule: ribosomal RNA, 492 nt
Filed under: uncultured bacterium
Lineage: Bacteria
Description: partial 16S ribosomal RNA
Rfam family: Bacterial small subunit ribosomal RNA
Source: RNAcentral